GACGAACGCUGGCGGCGUGCCUAAUACAUGCAAGUAGAACGCACAGUUUAUACCGUAGCUUGCUACACCAUAGACUGUGAGUUGCGAACGGGUGAGUAACGCGUAGGUAACCUGCCUGGUAGCGGGGGAUAACUAUUGGAAACGAUAGCUAAUACCGCAUAAUAUUAAUUAUUGCAUGAUAAUUGAUUGAAAGAUGCAACUGCAUCACUACCAGAUGGACCUGCGUUGUAUUAGCUAGUAGGUGAGGUAACGGCUCACCUAGGCGACGAUACAUAGCCGACCUGAGAGGGAGAUCGGCCAAACUGGGACUGAGAAAAGGCCCAGACUCCUACGGGAGGCAGCAGUAGGGAAUCUUCGGAAAUGGACGAAAGUCUGAACGAGCAACGCCGGGUGAGGGAAGAAGGUUGUCGGAGUGUAAAGCUCUGUUGUAAGAGAAGAACGGGUGUGAGAGUGGAAAGUUCACACUGUGACGGUAUCUUACCAGAAAGGGACGGCUAACUACGUG
RNAcentral lists this ribosomal RNA (505 nucleotides) under uncultured bacterium. Its description in RNAcentral is "partial 16S ribosomal RNA". It matches the Rfam family "Bacterial small subunit ribosomal RNA", at positions 28 to 507 of the family's 1533-position model. The record is from RNAcentral.